AUACCUUUCACCUUUUUGGCUAAGAUCAAGUGUAGUAUCUAUUUUUAUUAGUUUAAUAAUAUCUAAUAUAUGAAUCAUCGACGAAUCCCAUGAUGUGUUGCUAUUGGGGCCUUCAUGUGUUGCCUUAGCUUUGCACGAUUGCCUUGGCCUGGCUAAUCUAAU
Molecule: small nuclear RNA, 162 nt
Filed under: Solanum tuberosum (potato)
Lineage: Eukaryota; Viridiplantae; Streptophyta; Magnoliopsida; Solanales; Solanaceae
Description: snRNA U2
Rfam family: U2 spliceosomal RNA
About the family: U2 is a small nuclear RNA (snRNA) component of the spliceosome (involved in pre-mRNA splicing). Complementary binding between U2 snRNA (in an area lying towards the 5' end but 3' to hairpin I) and the branchpoint sequence (BPS) of the intron results the bulging out of an unpaired adenosine, on the BPS, which initiates a nucleophilic attack at the intronic 5' splice site, thus starting the first of two transesterification reactions that mediate splicing.
Source: Rfam by way of RNAcentral